ACACAUUUGAAGUCAUUUAGAAAGUAAAUUUAAUUAAAGACCUUUCUUACUAUAUUCAAGUUUAAAAGCUUCAUUUCCAACCCUUAGAUACUGUUGAGCAGCAAAAAGCAUAAAACCUGAACAGACUGCGAGUCAAAUCACUAAAUCAACAUACCGGUGAGAAAUUGCUGCAAGCAACACCUGUGGUGCAUGUUAAUGCGACCCAUUUGCGUUCAUUCUCUGCCCAUUGCAUUAUAUGGGUUACGAGCGUAGACUUGCCGCACCCAGCCUGACCGCCGAUGUAAACAUUGUGGCCUGCUUUGACCAUUGAGAGGGCCAAAUUCUGUUUUGCAGUCCAAUACGUCUGCUGUUCCAUGGCUGCAUCCAUUUCCAGCGAUAUGUCAAAGUUUUUAAUCUAACGAAGUACUCAGAAGAGUACCAAAUGAAAUCGACCAAUAAAAACUCACCGUUUAGGCUGCGUUCGUCUCAGCAUUCACUGCGGGAUAGCCGACCGGCAAAUGGCGUCUUUUGACGUUCAGAAUUAUUGUGUGUGAAAACGAGUUGAUUUCUUGGUUAAUAUUCGGCGACCGAGCAAGUUAUUGACGUGGACAGUGUUUCUUGGAUGUGUUUUAUAUGGAACUAUAGACAAUUUAUCGGGGAAUCGCUUAUUACGUGCCCAACAAGACUCGUCCAGUGUAAACACAAGUGGACAGGCUUAGCUACAUCGACCGAAUUUUGGACAAUUUCUCGUGUUUGAGGCCAUGUGGACAUUAUAAUACUGCGUCGAAUCGAAUGACACUAGUACCGUUAGAGAGAUAAUUUAUUUUGCUGUAAAACUGUGCAGAGUUUUUGAUGAUAAACAUAUGAAUUGUGUA
Long non-coding RNA from Dreissena polymorpha, 854 nucleotides. RefSeq lists it as uncharacterized. The record is from RefSeq and is a predicted model, not a curated record. Lineage: Eukaryota; Metazoa; Mollusca; Bivalvia; Myida; Dreissenidae. The transcript has 2 exons.